This 530-nucleotide ribosomal RNA is filed under the name uncultured bacterium. RNAcentral's name for it is "partial 16S ribosomal RNA". It matches the Rfam family "Bacterial small subunit ribosomal RNA", at positions 355 to 895 of the family's 1533-position model. The record is from RNAcentral.
UGGGGAAUAUUGCACAAUGGGCGCAAGCCUGAUGCAGCAACGCCGCGUGAGGGAUGACGGCCUUCGGGUUGUAAACCUCUUUUAGCAGGGAAGAAGCGAAAGUGACGGUACCUGCAGAAAAAGCGCCGGCUAACUACGUGCCAGCAGCCGCGGUAAUACGUAGGGCGCAAGCGUUAUCCGGAAUUAUUGGGCGUAAAGAGCUCGUAGGCGGUUUGUCGCGUCUGCUGUGAAAUCCCGAGGCUCAACCUCGGGUCUGCAGUGGGUACGGGCAGACUAGAGUGCGGUAGGGGAGAUUGGAAUUCCUGGUGUAGCGGUGGAAUGCGCAGAUAUCAGGAGGAACACCGAUGGCGAAGGCAGAUCUCUGGGCCGUAACUGACGCUGAGGAGCGAAAGGGUGGGGAGCAAACAGGCUUAGAUACCCUGGUAGUCCACCCGUAACGUUGGGAACUAGUUGUGGGGUCCAUUCCACGGAUUCCGUGGACGCAGCCUAACGCAUUAAGUUCCCCGCCUGGGGAGUACGGCCGCAAGGCU